AUAUUAAUAAGCGGAGGAAGAGAAACUAACAAGGAUUCCCUUAGUAACGGCGAGUGAAGCGGGAUGAGCUCAAAUUUGAAAUCUCACUGGUCUCCAGUGCGAAUUGUAGUUUCAAGGAACGUUUUCGGGGACGGCCUGGGUUCAAGUCCGUUGGAAAACGGCAUCAAAGAGGGUGAGAAUCCCGUUUUGAUCCGGAGUCCGUUCCUAUGUGAUACGUUUCCAAAGAGUCGGAUAGUUUGGGAUUGCUGUCCAGAAUGGGUGGUAAAUACCAUCUAAAGCUAAAUAUUGGCGAGAGACCGAUAGCGCACAAGUA
This 313-nucleotide ribosomal RNA is filed under the name uncultured Chytridiomycetes. RNAcentral's name for it is "partial large subunit ribosomal RNA". It matches the Rfam family "Eukaryotic large subunit ribosomal RNA", at positions 40 to 350 of the family's 3401-position model. Lineage: Eukaryota; Fungi; Chytridiomycota; Chytridiomycetes. The record is from RNAcentral.